AUGACUAUGGCUUCCAGUGGGCCUGGGAAAACAUCCUGCACAUUCUAUAACAUCCAUUCGGGCUUUACUAUGAUAUAUGAUAUCUGCACAUCCGCCUUGCCUGACCGCAAUAUGGCGGAUACAAGCUACUAUAUCCUUCAUUUGCCCUUGCCUCCCAUCCAAAUCAACACUAACAGCUAAGUGAGGAUAGCUCCAAACCGCAGCCAGUAUGCCUCCUUCUCCCAACAGCUUUCUGCGCACCAUUACCCCAUUCUCUUCGCAUGACCCCAACAUUUAUAGCCCUACGGAUGGCCCCAGCAGAGCUUAGAGGCAGCCCCUUGUCCCGGGAACGCCUUCUCAUACCCAGAGCUUGGAGAAUUUUUUCAUCCGCCAUCGAUAGCCCCGUCCGACGGCCCCCUGAAAAGCAUCAUUGGUAGUACUGGCCGGCCGAAACAUUGAUUGCGCUUAUCCAGCGAGAUCUUCAAGCCAUCAGAGAUCUCCCCAAUAAUACCUUUUUCAGAAGCUCCCGUUAAAAGAAGACUUCGAGUCGCAUAUGACACUCAACAGAGCCUCGGGCGGACAUCUCCCACUAACAUUGGGCGAUGUAGUUGAGCAUGAGAAUAAAUAGGCCGGCUCACAAGAGGUAGAUUGCGAUGGAAGCGUCGCGACAAGAGGACAUACCCGAAAAGCGUCGCGAAGAUGGAGAAAAAAUCGAAGGAACAAUGAGAUGCCAACGGACUCAUCAAGACCAUUCGUGCCGGAGUAAACCCCCUGAGUACAUGGAUCUCUGCUAAUUUCGAAAACACACCCUGGCCCAUUGCCGGGAGAGUGAGCUUAUUCGGACUGCAUUCAAGCGAGGGAUCCUAAAAUCCUUGCUGCUUGUAAGCCUCCCAGCGUUCGCUGCGUUCCUUGCACGGUCGGAUUUCUCCGUUAUUGAUCAAGUGCUGGUUUGUUUCUAGUUCUUCUUUGUGGGAUUGUGUCUAGCCAAUGUAGAUACACCACCCACUUAAUGUAGGACGUAGCGAGACUCUUCUCAUCUUUUCUCCAUCCUCCAGGGAGAGAGCUUCUUAUUGCGGUCUUUCAAGUGUUUGUUCUUAGGAUUAUUAUUGACUCUCUGCCCAGAUAUGUGUCGAUCCUCCAGGAAGAGAGCUUUCCUUGUGUUGCUGUUACGGCUUAUUACUUAUUUAUUUAUUCAGAUCUUGUGGUGGAGAGAACCGAAGGAAAGAGGGGAUAUAUAUAUAUUUGAAUCCUUUUAGCUAGUUUCCCUUUUACUUAGAAAUCUCUCAAUGCAAGUUCGGGAGACUACGCUCUCUAGGAUCAACAACAUCCCAG
Molecule: small RNA, 1311 nt
Filed under: Cryptococcus neoformans H99
Lineage: Eukaryota; Fungi; Basidiomycota; Tremellomycetes; Tremellales; Cryptococcaceae
Description: Cryptococcus neoformans var. grubii H99 hypothetical RNA
Source: RNAcentral